Malurus melanocephalus (red-backed fairy wren) is the source of this 1179-nucleotide long non-coding RNA. RefSeq lists it as uncharacterized. Lineage: Eukaryota; Metazoa; Chordata; Aves; Passeriformes; Maluridae. The record is from RefSeq and is a predicted model, not a curated record. The transcript has 4 exons.
UCUCCUUCAUUGUAUAGUAUAGCUACUUAAAUGAAAUUCUUUAAAGAUUUUGCAAGAAUUCUUCAGCUUUGUUUCUCCUUUGUGUGAAACAGAAUCCACUCUAGGACACUCUAURAACUGUCAUUUGAGUUAUAAUUCUUUUCUAUUUCCUAAAGCCAAAUACAAUAUUCCAUUCUUUAUUUAAUAGCUGUAAACAUCACAAGAGGUCAAUUUCACCAUAACUUCUCUUGGAAAUUUCCUUUUGAAUGUGAUCCAAUUGUUCCAUGUGCUGUUUCUGUGUGUUUUGUUCUCAUUCUGCAUAAAACAUCCUAUUUCUGUCCUUCCUUUUAAUCCGUGCUGUAGAGAGGUGCUUUCCCAUUAUUACGGAACAGUCAAUGCAUCCACAACAACAGGAGGGAGACAGGCAUUGUGUCCCAUAAGGAAUGACCUGGAGGCAUGAAAUGCUAAUUCAAAGAUGCUGAAAAUGCAGAUCAAUGAGAAGGAGCAUGAGACCUGUCCUGCCCUGUGACUGUGAUGGCUGUCACCAGAGAGAGGAUGCUGACCCAGGGGUUGUCAGCGGGGAAGGUUCACACCAAGGAUGCAGAGCAGAGCAGAGCUCUACAGAACUGCUUCAUCUUCCCAUCUGAGAUCCAGGAUACACACUUGGUUCUUCAUGGUUAUCAUCAGCCUCAGGGUUCUACCUUACACUAAAGAUAGUUGUUCCAGUGGGAGAGGACAGUAAGACCUUUAAGCAGCUGCAAGGAAGAAACAGCUGACAACCUUGGGCAUAAAUGUGGAAUGUAUAUUCAGUGUACUUGUUKUAUCUUUUGUUUUAACAUCUGUGAUUUAGUCUAUAUGCCACCAGCAAUUACUUGUAGAAUUCUGGUAAAGAAAAUAAAAUAUGAUUACAAGUAGGAAAGCAAAUAUGAUGAGUUAUCAUGGCCAUUAUAGAACAAGAAUACUGAUCUGGCACUCUUCAAAUUGCUUAACUGCACAGCAAAUGCAAUCAAUCRGCUUUAUUUGUGCAAUAUAUUAACUCCUUUAAAUAUUUUUACAAUCUUCUAACAAAAUAUGUUCUUUAUUAUCUCAAUCUUCAUUGUGUACUCCUCUUUUUUGGUGUCUCUGGUUCUCACUCUCUCUCAAAGCCUUGUUUCUAGGAGAGCUCUCAUAUCAAAAAUGUUGCCCCAAGCUGUUGCCACU